This is a ribosomal RNA of 463 nucleotides. It matches the Rfam family "Bacterial small subunit ribosomal RNA", at positions 1077 to 1533 of the family's 1533-position model.
GGGUUAAGUCCCGCAACGAGCGCAACCCUUAAGCUUAGUUGCCAUCAUUAAGUUGGGCACUCUAAGUUGACUGCCGGUGACAAACCGGAGGAAGGUGGGGAUGACGUCAAAUCAUCAUGCCCCUUAUGAUUUGGGCUACACACGUGCUACAAUGGACAAUACAAAGGGCAGCGAAACCGCGAGGUCAAGCAAAUCCCAUAAAGUUGUUCUCAGUUCGGAUUGUAGUCUGCAACUCGACUACAUGAAGCUGGAAUCGCUAGUAAUCGUAGAUCAGCAUGCUACGGUGAAUACGUUCCCGGGUCUUGUACACACCGCCCGUCACACCACGAGAGUUUGUAACACCCGAAGCCGGUGGAGUAACCUUUUAGGAGCUAGCCGUCGAAGGUGGGACAAAUGAUUGGGGUGAAGUCGUAACAAGGUAGCCGUAUCGGAAGGUGCGGCUGGAUCACCUCCUUUCUAAGGA